GCGGAUGGCCGAAUGAUCGCCUUUGGUCGCCUUUCGGGGUGGUCUGGGAGGAAAGUCCGGACUCCAUGAGACAACGGUGCCGGGUAACGCCCGGCCGGGGUAACCCGAGGGAUAGCGCCACAGAGAACAGACCGCCCCGGAUCUGAUCCGGGGUAAGGGUGAAACGGUGGGGUAAGAGCCCACCGCGGCCUUGGCAACAAGGGCGGCACGGCAAGCCCCACCGGGAGCAAUGCCAAAUAGGGGUUUCGCGCCGGGUUGAUCCGCUAAGGAUAUCGCCACGGCAGGGUUGUUUCAGCCCGAGAAAUCCGGGUUGGCAGCUAGAUCUUGUCGGCAACGGCAGGAGCAGAUGAAUGAUCAUUCAGGCCGGGGAAACUCGGCUGGACAAAAUCCGGCUUACAGGCUGUCCGCGCAA
This 412-nucleotide RNase P RNA is filed under the name Boseongicola sp. RNAcentral's name for it is "RNase P RNA component class A". It matches the Rfam family "Bacterial RNase P class A". From Rfam's summary of the family: Ribonuclease P (RNase P) is a ubiquitous endoribonuclease, found in archaea, bacteria and eukarya as well as chloroplasts and mitochondria. Its best characterised activity is the generation of mature 5'-ends of tRNAs by cleaving the 5'-leader elements of precursor-tRNAs. Cellular RNase Ps are ribonucleoproteins. The record is from RNAcentral. Lineage: Bacteria; Pseudomonadati; Pseudomonadota; Alphaproteobacteria; Rhodobacterales; Paracoccaceae.